CCCUUAGAUGUUCUGGGCUGCACGCGCGCUACACUGAUGCGAUCAACAAGUUUUUCCUAUGUCGAUUGACACGGGUAAUCUUUUGAACUCGCAUCGUGAUGGGGAUAGAUUAUUGUAAUUAUUAAUCUUCAACGAGGAAUUCCUAGUAGGUGCAAAUCAUCAGUUUGCAUCGAUUACGUCCCUGCCCUUUGUACACACCGCCCGUCGCUGCUACCGAUUGGUUGAUCUGGUGAAUUAUUCGGACUGCCGGCUGAAGGGGUUUCCUCAUCUGCCAGCGGAAAGUCUUGUUAACCCUAUCAACUAGAGGAAGCAGAAGUCGUAACA
This 324-nucleotide ribosomal RNA is filed under the name uncultured eukaryote. RNAcentral's name for it is "partial 18S ribosomal RNA". It matches the Rfam family "Eukaryotic small subunit ribosomal RNA", at positions 1470 to 1796 of the family's 1831-position model. The record is from RNAcentral.